Molecule: ribosomal RNA, 254 nt
Filed under: uncultured bacterium
Lineage: Bacteria
Description: partial 16S ribosomal RNA
Rfam family: Bacterial small subunit ribosomal RNA
Source: RNAcentral
UACGUAGGGGGCAAGCGUUGUCCGGAUUUAUUGGGCGUAAAGAGCUCGUAGGCGGUUCGAUAAGUCGGGUGUGAAAUCUCCAGGCUCAACCUGGAGGCGCCACCCGAUACUGUCGUGACUUGAGUUCGGUAGAGGAGUAUGGAAUUCCCGGUGUAGCGGUGAAAUGCGCAGAUAUCAGGAGGAACACCGAUGGCGAAGGCAGUGUUCUGGGCCAGUACUGACGCUGAGGAGCGAAAGCGUGGGGAGCAAACAGG